UACGGAGGGUGCAAACGUUGCUCGGAAUCAUUGGGCGUAAAGCGCGCGUAGGCGGCGAGGCAAGUUGGAUGUGAAAUCCCCGGGCUCAACCUGGGAACUGCAUCUGAUACUGGCAAGCUUGAGUCUCGUAGAGGGGGGUAGAAUUCCAGGUGUAGCGGUGAAAUGCGUAGAGAUCUGGAGGAAUACCGGUGGCGAAGGCGGCCCCCUGGACGAAGACUGACGCUCAGGUGCGAAAGCGUGGGGAGCAAACAGG
Molecule: ribosomal RNA, 253 nt
Filed under: uncultured bacterium
Lineage: Bacteria
Description: partial 16S ribosomal RNA
Rfam family: Bacterial small subunit ribosomal RNA
Source: RNAcentral